GACGAACGCUGGCGGCGUGCUUAACACAUGCAAGUCGAACGGAUAGGCCCUGCUUGUGUCUUGUUCUCGAGUGGCGAAAGGAUGAGUAACACGGGAGUAACCUCGUCUGUACUUUGGGAUAACUUCAGGAAACUGGGUCUGAUACCGGAUAUGAGCUCCCGCUGCAUGGUGUGGGUUGUAAAGUUUCGGCGGUUGGGGAUUGUCGGGCGGCUUAUCAUUUUGUUGGUGGGGUAGUGGCUUACAAAGGCUUUGACGGGUAGCCGGCCUGAGAGGGUGACCGGCCCCAGUGGGACAGAGAUAGGGGCCGGAGUCAUACGGGGGGAAGCAGUGGAAGAUAGUGCACGCUGGGCGGCAGCCGGAUGGAGCAUCGCCGCGUGGUGGAUCACGGCCUUUGGGUUGUAAACCGCUUUCGCGUGUGACGAAGAGUGAGUGACGGUAAUGGGUAAAGAAGCACCGGCUAACUACGUG
This 468-nucleotide ribosomal RNA is filed under the name uncultured bacterium. Its description in RNAcentral is "partial 16S ribosomal RNA". It matches the Rfam family "Bacterial small subunit ribosomal RNA", at positions 28 to 507 of the family's 1533-position model. The record is from RNAcentral.